AGUGGACGCUGGCGGCGUGCUUAACACAUGCAAGACGAACGAGAACGGGCUAUAGCUUGCUAUAGUUGUCAGCUAAGUGGCGCACGGGUGAGUAAUGUAUAGGUAAUAUGCCUCUUACUAAGGGAUAACAAAUGGAAACGUUUGCUAAUACCUUAUACUCCUUUUAAACAGAAGUUUAAAAGGGAAAGAUUUAUUGGUAAGAGAUUAGCCUGUAUUGUAUCAGUUAGUUGGUGGGGUAAUGGCUUACCAAGACUAUGACACAUAACUGGUUUGAGAGGAUGAUCAGUCACACUGGAACUGAGACACGGUCCAGACUCCUACGGGAGGCAGCAGUGGGGAAUAUUGCACAAUGGACGAAAGUCUGAUGCAGCAACGCCGCGUGGAGGAUGACACAUUUCGGUGCGUAAACUCCUUUUAUAUGAGAAGAUAAUGACGGUAUUAUAUGAAUAAGCACCGGCUAACUCCGUGCCAGCCGCCGCAGUAA
Molecule: ribosomal RNA, 484 nt
Filed under: uncultured bacterium
Lineage: Bacteria
Description: partial 16S ribosomal RNA
Rfam family: Bacterial small subunit ribosomal RNA
Source: RNAcentral